This 261-nucleotide long non-coding RNA is filed under the name Elaeis guineensis (African oil palm). RNAcentral describes it as "long non-coding RNA (EGUI_LNC053288)". Lineage: Eukaryota; Viridiplantae; Streptophyta; Magnoliopsida; Arecales; Arecaceae. The record is from RNAcentral.
ACCUGACAGAUCUUGGUGAAUGUGUUAACCAAUAAGUGGACAAUUUCUGCCCAAUGCUUCUCAAGCAAAUUAUAAUGGACUUGGUCUCUAAGUCUUAAGACAUCAUCUGAUAGAUCUUGACCUCAUUCCUUAGUUAAGUUAGACCUACCAUUGAGCAUGAGUGAAGCCAUCAUUAGAUCUUCACCUGAUAAAUCUUGGGCCCAAUUCCAUCUCUACCCCACAUAUAGAGUAGUUGAUUAUCUUUUGAUGCAACUGAACAAC